This 464-nucleotide ribosomal RNA is filed under the name Vreelandella stevensii. RNAcentral describes it as "partial 16S ribosomal RNA". It matches the Rfam family "Bacterial small subunit ribosomal RNA", at positions 338 to 795 of the family's 1533-position model. The record is from RNAcentral. Lineage: Bacteria; Pseudomonadati; Pseudomonadota; Gammaproteobacteria; Oceanospirillales; Halomonadaceae.
CCUACGGGUGGCUGCAGUGGGGAAUAUUGGACAAUGGGCGAAAGCCUGAUCCAGCCAUGCCGCGUGUGUGAAGAAGGCCUUCGGGUUGUAAAGCACUUUCAGUGGGGAAGAAAGCCUUGGGGCUAAUACCCUCGAGGAAGGACAUCACCCACAGAAGAAGCACCGGCUACUCCGUGCCAGCAGCCGCGGUAAUACGGAGGGUGCGAGCGUUAAUCGGAAUUACUGGGCGUAAAGCGCGCGUAGGCGGUCUGAUAAGCCGGUUGUGAAAGCCCCGGGCUCAACCUGGGAACGGCAUCCGGAACUGUCAGGCUAGAGGGCAGGAGAGGAAGGUAGAAUUCCCGGUGUAGCGGUGAAAUGCGUAGAGAUCGGGAGGAAUACCAGUGGCGAAGGCGGCCUUCUGGACUGACACUGACGCUGAGGUGCGAAAGCGUGGGUAGCAAACAGGAUUAGAUACCCCAGUAGUC